Molecule: ribosomal RNA, 478 nt
Filed under: uncultured bacterium
Lineage: Bacteria
Description: partial 16S ribosomal RNA
Rfam family: Bacterial small subunit ribosomal RNA
Source: RNAcentral
GGCGAACGCUGGCGGCGUGCUUAACACAUGCAAGUCGAACGGUAAGGCCCUUCGGGGUACACGAGUGGCGAACGGGUGAGUAACACGUGGGUGAUCUGCCCUGCACUUCGGGAUAAGCCUGGGAAACUGGGUCUAAUACCGGAUAGGACCCUGGGAUGCAUGUCCUGGGGUGGAAAGCUUUUGCGGUGUGGGAUGGGCCCGCGGCCUAUCAGCUUGUUGGUGGGGUGAUGGCCUACCUAGGCGACGACGGGUAGCCGGCCUGAGAGGGUGACCGGCCACACUGGGACUGAGAUACGGCCCAGACUCCUACGGGAGGCAGCAGUGGGGAAUAUUGCACAAUGGGCGCAAGCCUGAUGCAGCGACGCCGCGUGAGGGAUGACGGCCUGCGGGUUGUAAACCUCUUUCAGCACCGACGAAGCGCAAGUGACGGUAGGUGCAGAAGAAGGACCGGCCAACUACGUGCCAGCCGCCGCAGUAA